UAAGUAAUUAUUAACUGUGUAAGUUUAGUGGGUGUAAUUAAAAGUUUAUUAAUAAAAUCAUUUUUAGAAAGGGAUAAAGGUUUCGAGUAUUGGAUAAAGAAAGAAUUGUAUGUGUGUUAGUGUAGUAAGUACUGUGAAGGAAUGUUUGAAAUAUUAGAAAAUUGUUUUUUGAGUAAGUGGAUUUGAUUUGUUGUACCUUGUGUAUCAGGGUUUGUUAAAAGGUUAUUAAAAAUUUAAUUUUCCCGAUUUAAAAAGAGUUAAUUUAAUUUGUUAGUUAAUGUGGAAUAAUUAUUAAUUAAGUUGAAUUGGAAAUGAGAUGUUAAACGUUUUUUAAGAUAUCUGGUUUUUUGAGAUAUGAAUUUAAUUCAGUUAUUUAAUGUUAGUGUUUUUUUUAAGAUUAAAAUGUUUAUGGUUAGAUAAUAAGAGUCUGGGGGAUAAGCUUUGGAUUAAAUGGAAUUGUAAAUAUUUAUAGGAAAGUGGAAAAGAUUAGGCUUAGAAGUAGCCAUAUGUUAAUAAUAGUGUUAUAACUUAUUUUGUAUAUUUUAUGAUUUUAUAGUGGUUCAAUGUAUGUAUCAAAAUUUUUUAUUUAAUAUUGUAAUUUAGGUAAUAAUGAUGAAAUUAGUAUAAUAAAUUUGUUAGUUUUUAUGAAGUAUGGUUAGGUUAGAGUAAGGAAUUAGGCAAAUUUAAUGUUCGCCUGUUUAACAAAAACAUGUCCUCUUGAGCAGUAGAUAUGAGGUCUGGCCUGCCCACUGAAUUAGUUUGAAGGGCCGCGGUAUUUUGACCGUGCAAAGGUAGCAUAAUCAUUAGUCUUUUAAUUGAAGGCUGGAAUGAAGGGUCGGACGAGGCAUUAGCUGUCUCACUUUAAUUUAGAUUAGAAUUUAACAUUUAAGUGAAAAGGCUUAAAUUAUUUUAAAGGACGAGAAGACCCUAUAGAGCUUUAUAUAAGAUAAUUUAGUAGGGAUUUUGUAGUGUAAAUUUAUUAAGUAGUUUUGUAUUUUAUUGGGGUGAUAGGAAGAUAGAUAGAACUCUUUUUGAUUAGUGAUUAACAAUGAUUUUUGAUUAAAUGAUCCGUUAUUAAUGAUUAUAAGACUAAGUUACCUUAGGGAUAACAGCGUAAUCUUUUUAGAGAGUUCUUAUCGACAAAAAGGGUUGCGACCUCGAUGUUGGAUUAAGGUUAAUUUUGGGUGUAGAUGUUCAAAAUUUAGGUCUGUUCGACCUUUAAAUCCUUACAUGAUCUGAGUUCAGACCGGCGUAAGCCAGGUCGGUUUCUAUCCUUAGAAGAGAUGAAUGUUUUAGUACGAAAGGACCAAAUAUUUAAAUGAAAAUUUUUAAGAAGGAUAAAAAUUAAUGU
This 1351-nucleotide ribosomal RNA is filed under the name Sinacroneuria dabieshana. RNAcentral describes it as "16S ribosomal RNA". The stretch from base 591 to 1351 matches the Rfam family "Archaeal large subunit ribosomal RNA", at positions 1423 to 2915 of the family's 2987-position model. Lineage: Eukaryota; Metazoa; Arthropoda; Insecta; Plecoptera; Perlidae. The record is from RNAcentral.